RNAcentral lists this long non-coding RNA (3677 nucleotides) under Brassica napus (rape). Its description in RNAcentral is "long non-coding RNA (BNAP_LNC010119)". The record is from RNAcentral. Lineage: Eukaryota; Viridiplantae; Streptophyta; Magnoliopsida; Brassicales; Brassicaceae.
UACAACGACGGUGAGCGCGCUGCUCGAAUGUUUACACCAUGUGGUUAUAGUGAAACAUGUGACUGGAUCGAGUUUCCUCAGUAUCUAGCCCAACGUAGAUGGUAUGCCACCAAUCAAAUUUUACCUGAUGGACGGAUAAUUGUGGUCGGGGGAAGAAGACAAUUCAACUUUGAAAUUUUCCCUCGACCUGAUUCUCACGGUUAUAGAGGGUCAAGAUUUGAUUUUCUUAGAGAAACUACCGAUGGAAGUAGCGAGAACAACUUGUAUCCGUUCCUUUAUCUCUUACCCGAUGGAAACUUAUUCGUCUUCGCUAACACAAGAUCCAUUGUGUUUGAUUACAAAAUGAACCGGAUCGUGAGAGAGUUUCCAGAGAUUCCAGGUGGUGAUCCAAGAAACUAUCCAAGCAGUGGCUCUUCCAUACUUUUUCCAUUAGAUGAAAGCAAGAAUAUUAUGGAGGCUGAGAUUAUGGUUUGUGGAGGAGCUCCAAAAGACGCUUUUCCACGAGCAAAAAGCCAACAAGGAUUCAGACGUGCCACUUCCACGUGUGGAAGGCUAAGGCUAACUAGUCUGAAUCCAAUCUGGGAAAUGGAGACCAUGCCAUUGCCACGUGUAAUGGGGGACAUGCUGCUCUUACCAACGGGUGAUAUCAUUAUUGUAAACGGUGCAGGAGCUGGUACAGCCGGGUGGGAAAAUGCCCGUGACCCGGUAACCCGACCCGUGAUAUAUCACCCAUUUGAUCGCCGCUUCUCAAUUAUGUCCACAUCAUCGCGUUCUAGGAUGUACCAUUCGUCUGCGGUGUUGUUACCGGACGGUCGGGUUUUAGUCGGUGGUAGUAAUCCUCACAUUUAUUACAACUUCACCAACGUCGAGUAUCCAACGGAAUUAAGCCUCGAGGCUUACUCUCCUCCCUACCUCUCUUUCACGUCUGACUCAAUAAGACCACAUAUAUUGACCAACGACAAAGUAAUCAGUUACAAGAGAUUGUUCAACGUCCAUUUCUAAAAACACCCAUAACAUAUAAAAAGAAAUAUUGUAAGAAAUUAUUUAAUUAUAUUUUAAAUUUAAAAACUACAUAAAUUAUUUUUUUUAUUCUUAAGAAUCAGUAGAAAUUAAAAUUAUAAUUAUAUUAACAUCAUUUAGCAUAUUUCUAUUUAGAAUUCCAUAUAUCGACAUAUAUAUAUAUAUAUUAUUAUUAUUAUUAUUAUAAAAUUGAAUUAUAUAAGACCAAAUAUAAUUUUAAAUACAUAAUUGUAUUACAUAUAAUUAAUAUUGGACACAAUAUUUAGAAUUUUGACGCUUUCCAUGAUAACUUCGUAAGCUUCCGCCAUGGGUUCGAUUCUCCUUGGCCACUCAUAGAAGUUUUAAGUGGCAAGAAAACCCAGAUUUCUAUGGGCCUUUUGGUGAUUAGUUCUUUGGCCUAGAAAGUCUUUGGGAUCACACCAAGGUUAUAAAAAAAAAAAACUUCGUAUUUUCAUAAUUGAUAUUGUAUUAGUUAUGAUGCUAGCGUCGAAAUAGGUAAAUUUUCUGAAUGGUAUUGAUUUAGGAAGUUAUCUCUCUUUCUGAUUUAGUGCACCAAUAUAUUUUAAAGAUACUAACUAUAAUAUCUUUAAUUACGAUUAUUAUCUAUAACAUUUUAAUAUAUGAAUAUUAUGAUUUUUUGGGUUUGUAGGAAUUUGAUUAUGUUUGUCAAAUUAAUUUUGCCGGUUUACGUCUGUCUAUUUAAGUUCGCUGGUUUUAUUAUGUUAUAAACGAUGACUGUCAUACAUAAUAAUAAAAAGUUAGUACUAAAUACCAAAUGUAUUUCUAUUUUAAUAAUUUAGAUAAAAUAAUUUUAUUGAUAUGAUUUACUAUUUACGUAUAUAAUAGUUAGGUAGUUAUGAAUUUUGUGUGCCUAUAAUUAAGGCGAUUAAUCACGCACAUAUGCUGAAUUCCUAUUAUCUACAAUUAAAUUAAAUCUAUAGGAACAAAGAAUUUGGAAUGAUGGUGAAUCAUGCAGAAGAUACUAUAAAAAAUAGUGGUUAUCUAAAUUAUAGGAACUUGUUAGUAAUUAUUUCAUUUACGGAAAUCAAGCUUUAUUGUGAAUAGUAAAUUUUCGUUAGAUCAAUUGAUGAUCUUUAUACCAGCAAUAUAUUGUUUACAUAUACAUGAUUGUGAAUCACAAUUUGUGAUAUCUUGUUUAGCAUGUAUAUACUGUUUAUAUGAUGAUCUCCAUAUGCUUAAGAAAUUGUGAUGAAUAGUUUGGUUUGGUUUGUAAUUGGCAGUUCUAAUAGAAAAAACUACCGGUCGUACGUUUAGUGGAGUAUUGGAUUGGAAUAAUUAUGUGCUGGUUGCUCAACUAUUAAAACUGGAGUAUUGGUUUCGAAUGAUGUAAGUACGUGCUGGUCUAAUUUUUUUAAUACGAUUGUAUAUGGAACGGGAUGGUUUAACGUUUUUUUGGUAUAGAAAAUAAAUGGGUUAAGGAAAGUGUAAAACUACUGUGUUUAAGGCCAGUGGCAUAUAAUUGUAAUUAUUGAGAAAAACUUAGGGUGAAGAUUUAUUUGUACUUCAGUUUUACUAGUUUAGAUAUAAUAACCCCCAAUUAAUAAAAUAAACAUGUAAGUGUAAAAUAAUCUAUGACAAUAUAUAAGUGGACGCACCCCAUCCUCAAGAAAAUAUACUACCAACCUCUAACUUAAAAUUCUCCAACAAGAAAAUAUACUACCAACCUCUAACUUAAAAUUCACCAUCAAUCCAAGAACAGAGGCAACACUAUGAUCAAUUAAUAAAAUAGUUUAGAUAUAAUAACCCCUAAUUAAUAAAAUAAACAUGUAAGUGUAAAAUAAUCUAUGACAAUAUAUAAGUGGACGCAUCCCAUCCUCAAGAAAAUAUACUACCAACCUCUAACUUAAAAUUCUCCAACAAGAAAAUAUACUACCAACCUCUAACUUAAAAUUCACCAUCAAUCCAAGAACACAGGCAUCACUAUGAUCAACUCCGAGAAUGUCGGUAUCAUCCUCACAGCAUUAAUCUUAUGCUUCUCCAUUUCCAUAUUAUCCGAAAGUGAACCCAUCCCGUUUCAGAUGCAACUCGAUCGAUGGGAAGUAUUGCUACCGAGCAUCGGUAUAUCCGCCAUGCACAUGCAACUCCUCCACAACGGCAUGGUCAUAAUGUUUGACCGUACCGAUUUUGGAAUCUCGAAUCUUUCUCUACCAGGAGGCAUGUGUCGAUUUGAUCCUAGUGACACUGCGGUCAAGUUCGAUUGCUCCGCGCAUUCGGUUCUCUACGACAUUGUCUCUAACACAUACCGUGCCUUGAAAGUCCAAACCGAUACAUGGUGUUCUUCUGGUUCGGUUCUUCCCAACGGAACAUUGGUUCAAACUGGUGGAUACAACGACGGUGAGCGCGCUGCUCGAAUGUUUACACCAUGUGGUUAUAGUGAAACAUGUGACUGGAUCGAGUUUCCUCAGUAUCUAGCCCAACGUAGAUGGUAUGCCACCAAUCAAAUUUUACCUGAUGGACGGAUAAUUGUGGUCGGGGGAAGAAGACAAUUCAACUUUGAAAUUUUCCCUCGACCUGAUUCUCACGGUUAUAGAGGGUCAAGAUUUGAUUUUCUUAGAGAAACUACCGAUGGAAGUAGCGAGAACAACUUGUAUCCGUUCCUUUAUCUCUUACCCGAUGGAAACUUAUUCGUCUUCGCU